AAUGGGUCAGCGACUUAUAUUCUGUAGCAAGGUUAACCGAAUAGGGGAGCCGAAGGGAAACCGAGUCUUAACUGGGCGUUAAGUUGCAGGGUAUAGACCCGAAACCCGGUGAUCUAGCCAUGGGCAGGUUGAAGGUUGGGUAACACUAACUGGAGGACCGAACCGACUAAUGUUGAAAAAUUAGCGGAUGACUUGUGGCUGGGGGUGAAAGGCCAAUCAAACCGGGAGAUAGCUGGUUCUCCCCGAAAGCUAUUUAGGUAGCGCCUCGUGAAUUCAUCUCCGGGGGUAGAGCACUGUUUCGGCAAGGGGGUCAUCCCGACUUACCAACCCGAUGCAAACUGCGAAUACCGGAGAAUGUUAUCACGGGAGACACACGGCGGGUGCUAACGUCCGUCGUGAAGAGGGAAACAACCCAGACCGCCAGCUAAGGUCCCAAAGUCAUGGUUAAGUGGGAAACGAUGUGGGAAGGCCCAGACAGCCAGGAUGUUGGCUUAGAAGCAGCCAUCAUUUAAAGAAAGCGUAAUAGCUCACUGGUCGAGUCGGCCUGCGCGGAAGAUGUAACGGGGCUAAACCAUGCACCGAAGCUGCGGCAGCGACGCUUAUGCGUUGUUGGGUAGGGGAGCGUUCUGUAAGCCUGUGAAGGUGUGCUGUGAGGCAUGCUGGAGGUAUCAGAAGUGCGAAUGCUGACAUAAGUAACGAUAAAGCGGGUGAAAAGCCCGCUCGCCGGAAGACCAAGGGUUCCUGUCCAACGUUAAUCGGGGCAGGGUGAGUCGACCCCUAAGGCGAGGCCGAAAGGCGUAGUCGAUGGGAAACAGGUUAAUAUUCCUGUACUUGGUGUUACUGCGAAGGGGGGACGGAGAAGGCUAUGUUGGCCGGGCGACGGUUGUCCCGGUUUAAGCGUGUAGGCUGGUUUUCCAGGCAAAUCCGGAAAAUCAAGGCUGAGGCGUGAUGACGAGGCACUACGGUGCUGAAGCAACAAAUGCCCUGCUUCCAGGAAAAGCCUCUAAGCAUCAGGUAACAUCAAAUCGUACCCCAAACCGACACAGGUGGUCAGGUAGAGAAUACCAAGGCGCUUGAGAGAACUCGGGUGAAGGAACUAGGCAAAAUGGUGCCGUAACUUCGGGAGAAGGCACGCUGAUAUGUAGGUGAAGUCCCUCGCGGAUGGAGCUGAAAUCAGUCGAAGAUACCAGCUGGCUGCAACUGUUUAUUAAAAACACAGCACUGUGCAAACACGAAAGUGGACGUAUACGGUGUGACGCCUGCCCGGUGCCGGAAGGUUAAUUGAUGGGGUCAGCGCAAGCGAAGCUCUUGAUCGAAGCCCCGGUAAACGGCGGCCGUAACUAUAACGGUCCUAAGGUAGCGAAAUUCCUUGUCGGGUAAGUUCCGACCUGCACGAAUGGCGUAAUGAUGGCCAGGCUGUCUCCACCCGAGACUCAGUGAAAUUGAACUCGCUGUGAAGAUGCAGUGUACCCGCGGCAAGACGGAAAGACCCCGUGAACCUUUACUAUAGCUUGACACUGAACAUUGAGCCUUGAUGUGUAGGAUAGGUGGGAGGCUUAGAAGUGUGGACGCCAGUCUGCAUGGAGCCGACCUUGAAAUACCACCCUUUAAUGUUUGAUGUUCUAACGUUGACCCGUAAUCCGGGUUGCGGACAGUGUCUGGUGGGUAGUUUGACUGGGGCGGUCUCCUCCUAAAGAGUAACGGAGGAGCACGAAGGUUGGCUAAUCCUGGUCGGACAUCAGGAGGUUAGUGCAAUGGCAUAAGCCAGCUUGACUGCGAGCGUGACGGCGCGAGCAGGUGCGAAAGCAGGUCAUAGUGAUCCGGUGGUUCUGAAUGGAAGGGCCAUCGCUCAACGGAUAAAAGGUACUCCGGGGAUAACAGGCUGAUACCGCCCAAGAGUUCAUAUCGACGGCGGUGUUUGGCACCUCGAUGUCGGCUCAUCACAUCCUGGGGCUGAAGUAGGUCCCAAGGGUAUGGCUGUUCGCCAUUUAAAGUGGUACGCGAGCUGGGUUUAGAACGUCGUGAGACAGUUCGGUCCCUAUCUGCCGUGGGCGCUGGAGAACUGAGGGGGGCUGCUCCUAGUACGAGAGGACCGGAGUGGACGCAUCACUGGUGUUCGGGUUGUCAUGCCAAUGGCACUGCCCGGUAGCUAAAUGCGGAAGAGAUAAGUGCUGAAAGCAUCUAAGCACGAAACUUGCCCCGAGAUGAGUUCUCCCUGACCCUUUAAGGGUCCUGAAGGAACGUUGAAGACGACGACGUUGAUAGGCCGGGUGUGUAAGCGCAGCGAUGCGUUGAGCUAACCGGUACUAAUGAACCGUGAGGCUUAACCUUACAACGCCGAAGCUGUU
Molecule: ribosomal RNA, 2348 nt
Filed under: Escherichia coli
Lineage: Bacteria; Pseudomonadati; Pseudomonadota; Gammaproteobacteria; Enterobacterales; Enterobacteriaceae
Description: partial 23S ribosomal RNA
Rfam family: Bacterial large subunit ribosomal RNA
Source: RNAcentral